GCGUAGCGCAAUGGCAACGCCCUUGAUUUGUAAUCAAGUUAUUGUAGGUUCGAAUCCUAUCGC
This 63-nucleotide transfer RNA is filed under the name pig gut metagenome. It matches the Rfam family "tRNA", at positions 5 to 66 of the family's 71-position model. From Rfam's summary of the family: Transfer RNA (tRNA) molecules are approximately 80 nucleotides in length. Their secondary structure includes four short double-helical elements and three loops (D, anti-codon, and T loops). Further hydrogen bonds mediate the characteristic L-shaped molecular structure. tRNAs have two regions of fundamental functional importance: the anti-codon, which is responsible for specific mRNA codon recognition, and the 3' end, to which the tRNAs corresponding amino acid is attached (by aminoacyl-tRNA synthetases). tRNAs cope with the degeneracy of the genetic code in two manners: having more than one tRNA (with a specific anti-codon) for a particular amino acid; and 'wobble' base-pairing, i.e. permitting non-standard base-pairing at the 3rd anti-codon position. The record is from RNAcentral.